UCAUGUCAACGCUACAGAAAUUUCAGCAAUUAGUCCUAUCCUUCCCUCAAUCAAAUCUGAAUCAACAGAGCUUGCAUUUGUUCAUGGCCUCCAUCAUUUCAGAGCUAACGCUUGUUACACACAAGUUGGAAUUGUCUAUUUGCAAUUGCUCACGAACUCAUAUUUUUAGGACCGAAAAAAAACCCACUGUUUGAAAUGUGGAGCCUGUAGUUUGUUUCCUUGGGUUUGUGUUGGAAAACCUUGCCUUAUUCGUAUCGCAGUUGUUCAUGCAAACAAUUGGUCCUCUAACACACCUUACAGUGAAACAGAUGAAAUUGACUGUGAAAACGGAUGUCGCCCGUUACUGAGCUUGUAGAGUAACAUAUGGACUCUCGUCCGGAGUACAACAACCAUAUAAACAUAGAUAGAGGAGUUUUGCAGGGGGUAUGUCGCAAUUUAUAAAUAUUACAACGGCUGAUUAUCAAUAAUACAACCAGAGACAUCUAUAACAUGUUAUAUGUAUCUUUGUACAUGUAACAAUGGACAAUGUCAAUUUGUUAAAUUAUCUAGAUCGCCAAAUCUAAUAAAACAGAAAUGUGCGUUAAAUAAU
Long non-coding RNA from Ostrea edulis (European flat oyster), 589 nucleotides. RefSeq lists it as uncharacterized. The record is from RefSeq and is a predicted model, not a curated record. The transcript has 2 exons. Lineage: Eukaryota; Metazoa; Mollusca; Bivalvia; Ostreida; Ostreidae.